Molecule: RNA transcript, 2124 nt
Organism: Cebus imitator (Panamanian white-faced capuchin)
Lineage: Eukaryota; Metazoa; Chordata; Mammalia; Primates; Cebidae
Gene name: phosphatidylinositol-3-phosphatase SAC1-like
Exons: 1
Source: RefSeq, a predicted model, not a curated record
AUGAAGGAAGGUAAGAAUAGAUUUGAAAUACAAAAUGAGAAGUUGAAGUUCAUUUUUUACAUGCAGAAUUUUCAGUCAUUUUUACAAACAAAAAGGUUUUCCUACAAGUGUUGCUCUUGCUGUAAUCUAAGAGGUUUAAAAGCAAUUUUUGGCAAACAGGUUGUAAUCAAUCUGAUUAGCCAGAAGGGCUCAGAGAAGCCACUUGAACAGACAUUUGCAACAAUGGUGUCUUCUUUGGGAAGUGGAAUGAUGAAAUACAUUGCCUUUGACUUCCAUAAGGAAUGUAAAAAUAUGAGAUGGGAUGGACUAAGUAUUUUAUUGGAUCAGGUAGCAGAAAUGCAAGAUUAAGUUAUUUUCUACUGGACUCUGCUGGCCACAUGGUGACAAACCAGGAAAGCAUGUUCCAAAGCAAUUGCAUGAUUGUCUAGACAGAACCAAUGUGAUCCAGAGUUUGCUAGCUUGUCAUUCACUUCAGGCCCAACUUCAGAGACUAGGAGUUUUGCAUGUGGGACAAAAGCUGGAAGAAUAAGAUGAAUUUGAGAAGAUUUACAAAAGUGCCUGGGCUGACAAUGUAAAUGUCUGUGCCAAGCAAUAUGCGGGAACUGGUGGUGCCUUGAAGACUGACUUUACCAGAACUGGGAAGAGCACUCAUUUGGGACUUAUAAUGGGUGGCUGGAACUCAAUGAUAUGGUAUUAUAAGAACAACUUCUCCGAUGCAUUAAAACAAGAUUCCAUAGACUUAUUUCUUGGAAACUAUUCAGUGGAUGAAUUAGAAUCUCAUAGUCCUUUAAGUGUUCCAAGGGAUUGGGAAUCCCUGGCUUUGCCUAUUAUCAUGGUUGUUGCCUUUUCAAUGUGCAUUAUUUGUUUGUUUAUGGCUGGUGACACUUGGACAAUAAUGCUGGCCUAUGUGCUCUUCUGGGGAGUUGCAAGCAUUGGAACAUUUUUUAUCAUUCUUUACAAUGGCAAAGAUUUUGUUGGCGCUCUCAGACUGGUCCACAAAGGAAAGAUAAACUGAUUUUGUGUUUGUGGAAAGCAGCUUGGCUUGGAAGAUUCCAUUAUGCAGAACUGGAGUCUUUACUGACCUGCUUUCCACAUCAGCCCAAGGUCUUUUUAAUGCCUUUAUCCAAAAGCAAAUCUUGUACUCUGUGCAGGAUGAUGACAGAAUUGAUCGAUAUUACUGCCUUGAUGGUCUCUUUACUCUUGGGACAGUUAUUAAUUUGAAGCUGUACUGUAAUUAAAAUAAUAAUCUGAGUUCACCUUGCAGAAUGGAAGCUGAAUCUGUUCAUUUGAUUCUAUUGAUUAUCAAUUUAAUCAGCUGUUGCAGAAUAAGUAAUAUAUUUUAAAAACCUAGCUUCUUUCAUUGUUUAAAAUAGUAAAAUUACUUUUGUAGCUCAGUUUCAUUAUUGUCCCUGUAGAAGCAGUCGCUGUUAGCAGGCAAACUUUUUCACACAUCUUUGGACUUUUCUUAAAAGUUCAAUAAUAAGCUAACUGUGUUUGUAAAAUGUAAGUCUCUUACAGACAUCAAGUAGUUUGAUGAGACAGUCUGUGACUUCAUCAUAGGAAAGAGGAGAAUGAGGUCUGGGGUUCUUUAAAGUUUCUGGUGGGUCGCGUCAUGACUUGAAUCAGCUUGAACUGCCAGUGCACCAGCAGUUUAAGUGUGAAGAGAGAAUUCAGAUAUACUUUAUCUUUUUUAAAAAGUGUAAGUAAAAUCAAAGAAUGUAAAAUCUUUCUCUUAUGCUACAGGUUCAAAGCUGCCUCUGUUUUAAAGAUUGUCCCAGUGUGAAAGAUGCCCAUGACUGGUCAGCUACUUUCUCCUAUACAUUUGGGUUUCGUUGAGGGUCACUCAUUGAGACAUGCAGGCCUCUGAGAGGGUCUCGUUCUAGAUUUCAUAUUGCACUUGGGGGGCAACAGCUGCUUUUCCACACAUGGUACUCUUGAUGCCUCACUCUGUCAAGGAUUUUGUUGGCUAUCAAUAAAUGUGCCUAAAACUCAGUGCUUCCAGGUAUUUACAGUUCUGCAAAUCAAGGACAUUAAUUUAUGUGCAAAAACAAACCUGAAAAAUAAGCUUCAGAAACUGUGCAUAGUUCUAAUUGUAAGUCAGAUUGUAUAUUCAAAUUGUAAUUA